Molecule: unclassified non-coding RNA, 347 nt
Filed under: uncultured fungus
Lineage: Eukaryota; Fungi
Description: partial contains 5.8S ribosomal RNA and internal transcribed spacer 2
Rfam family: 5.8S ribosomal RNA (bases 1-134)
Source: RNAcentral
UGGUUCUGGCAUCGAUGAAGAACGCAGCGAAAUGCGAUAAGUAAUGUGAAUUGCAGAAUUUUUGUGAAUCAUCGAAUCUUUGAACGCACAUUGCACCUUUUGGUAUUCCGAGAGGUAUGCUUGUUCGAGCGUCGUUUAAAAUCUAUCAACAGAAUUUUUGUUGAAUGUAUUGAAGGAUUUUUUGGUUAUACAAAAAACUUUCCAAAAGAAUAGCAGCGAUUUUGACUGAUUAUUAUUGAACGCAUCAAGUUUUACUAGAAUACGUUCAAGAAAAUCAGGAGGAGAAAUCAGCCAGAAAACCCACCUUUUAUAAUAUCGACCUCGGAUCAAGUAGGGCUACCCGCUGA